GCCGCGGUAGCUCAGUUGGUAGAGCAUCGGACGCUUAAAUCGAACGUCGCAGGUUCGGUCCCUGCCCGCGGCA
RNAcentral lists this transfer RNA (73 nucleotides) under Rhipicephalus sanguineus (brown dog tick). RNAcentral's name for it is "transfer RNA lysine (anticodon CUU)". It matches the Rfam family "tRNA". Rfam says of the family: Transfer RNA (tRNA) molecules are approximately 80 nucleotides in length. The record is from Rfam by way of RNAcentral. Lineage: Eukaryota; Metazoa; Arthropoda; Arachnida; Ixodida; Ixodidae.